This 475-nucleotide ribosomal RNA is filed under the name uncultured organism. RNAcentral describes it as "partial 16S ribosomal RNA". It matches the Rfam family "Bacterial small subunit ribosomal RNA", at positions 331 to 797 of the family's 1533-position model. The record is from RNAcentral.
GUACACUCCUGCGGGAGGCAGCAGUGGGGAAUAUUGCACAAUGGGCGCAAGCCUGAUGCAGCCAUGCCGCGUGUGUGAAGAAGGCCUUCGGGUUGUAAAGCACUUUCAGCGGGGAGGAAGGCAAUGCGGUUAAUAACCGUGUUGAUUGACGUUACCCGCAGAAGAAGCACCGGCUAACUCCGUGCCAGCAGCCGCGGUAAUACGGAGGGUGCAAGCGUUAAUCGGAAUUACUGGGCGUAAAGCGCACGCAGGCGGUCUGUCAAGUCGGAUGUGAAAUCCCCGGGCUCAACCUGGGAACUGCAUUCGAAACUGGCAGGCUUGAGUCUUGUAGAGGGGGGUAGAAUUCCAGGUGUAGCGGUGAAAUGCGUAGAGAUCUGGAGGAAUACCGGUGGCGAAGGCGGCCCCCUGGACAAAGACUGACGCUCAGGUGCGAAAGCGUGGGGAGCAAACAGGAUUAGAAACCCCAGUAGUCCCA